RNAcentral lists this transfer RNA (86 nucleotides) under Flavobacterium phage vB_FspM_immuto_13-6C. Its description in RNAcentral is "tRNA-Cys". It matches the Rfam family "tRNA". Rfam says of the family: Transfer RNA (tRNA) molecules are approximately 80 nucleotides in length. RNAcentral also lists the same sequence under 2 other names. Lineage: Duplodnaviria; Heunggongvirae; Uroviricota; Caudoviricetes. The record is from RNAcentral.
GAAUCGGUUAGUGUAAUCAGCAUAAUGCUGGCAGAGGGUAACAGCACUUCUAUGUGUGAUGAGGGUUCGAAUCCCUCACCGAUUCC